Molecule: ribosomal RNA, 253 nt
Filed under: uncultured bacterium
Lineage: Bacteria
Description: partial 16S ribosomal RNA
Rfam family: Bacterial small subunit ribosomal RNA
Source: RNAcentral
UACGAAGGGGGCUAGCGUUGCUCGGAAUCACGGGGCGUAAAGGGUGCGUAGGCGGGUCUUUAAGUCAGGGGGGAAAUCCUGGAGCUCAACUCCAGAACUGCCUUUGAUACUGAGAGCCUUGAGUCCGGAAGAGGUAAGUGGAACUGCGAGUGUAGAGGUGAAAUUCGUAGAUAUUCGCAAGAACACCAGUGGCGAAGGCGGCUUACUGGUCCGGUACUGACGCUGAGGUGCGAAAGCGUGGGGAGCAAACAGG